Molecule: ribosomal RNA, 499 nt
Filed under: uncultured bacterium
Lineage: Bacteria
Description: partial 16S ribosomal RNA
Rfam family: Bacterial small subunit ribosomal RNA
Source: RNAcentral
GACGAACGCUGGCGGCGUGCCUAAUACAUGCAAGUCGAGCGGACUUUCAAGAAGCUUGCUUUUUGAAAGUUAGCGGCGGACGGGUGAGUAACACGUGGGCAACCUGCCUGCAAGACGGGGAUAACUCCGGGAAACCGGGGCUAAUACCGGAUAAUAUCUUCCUUCGCAUGAAGGAAGGUUGAAAGGCGGCGCAAGCUGCCGCUUGCAGAUGGGCCCGCGGCGCAUUAGCUAGUUGGUGAGGUAACGGCUCACCAAGGCGACGAUGCGUAGCCGACCUGAGAGGGUGAUCGGCCACACUGGGACUGAGACACGGCCCAGACUCCUACGGGAGGCAGCAGUAGGGAAUCUUCCGCCAUGGACGAAAGUCUGACGGAGCAACGCCGCGUGAGCGAAGAAGGUCUUCGGAUCGUAAAGCUCUGUUGUCAGGGAAGAACAAGUACCGUUCGAACAGGGCGGUACCUUGACGGUACCUGACCAGAAAGCCACGGCUAACUACGUG